UACUACAGCUAUACCACCCUGAACGUGCCCAAUCUCAUCUGAUCUUGGAAGCUAAGCAGGAUCAGGCCUGGUUAUUAUUUGGAUGGGCAACAUGGCUUAUAGAGAGAAAAGUGGCUCUCUGAA
Molecule: ribosomal RNA, 123 nt
Filed under: Carlito syrichta (Philippine tarsier)
Lineage: Eukaryota; Metazoa; Chordata; Mammalia; Primates; Tarsiidae
Source: RNAcentral